This 878-nucleotide long non-coding RNA is filed under the name Elaeis guineensis (African oil palm). RNAcentral's name for it is "long non-coding RNA (EGUI_LNC048901)". Lineage: Eukaryota; Viridiplantae; Streptophyta; Magnoliopsida; Arecales; Arecaceae. The record is from RNAcentral.
GGUGUUAGAAAAUUGGAUAGGGUACAUGUGUAGAUUUCAAAAAUCUUUUUAAUCGCGAUGGAAAAAUAAUUAGGUUAAAUUUUUUAACCCCACGUACAUCUUAUCUAAUCCUACCCAAGUUCAGGAGGAAAGACAUACAUAUAAUUUGAAAAUAAAAGUAAGUAUGAGAUCAAAUCUCAAUACCUUAGCAUGGGUAGAAAUUCAUCACAAUCGAUGAUCUCGGGUUCGAAAGUCUCCGAGCCGUAUACAUGUCCAGCCUCUACGGAUAUCCACCGGGAUCAAUCUCGAAUCGAUCUUCUCAUAAUAGAUCUUUCUUCUCCAAACAGGAUCUCAAUCCUUUAGAAUCUUGAUCAACUCUUUGAUCAAGACUAUGGAAUCAACUAUUUGAUCUGCUGCCUUCUUCUCCUCGUUCUUCACUUUAGAAGAUCACCUCAACUUGGUGUGUAGAAAAGUGGGACGCCCAAUCUUUGGGCAUGGGAAAGAGAAGAGGGAGAAGGUGUGGCAUGGAGAAGGGAGAGAGGGAGAGAGAUCUGAUUUUUAAUCAAUAAAAACUCUAACUCCUAAAACCCUAGGAGACCUUCUCAUUAUAUAGGCCUUUCCUUGAUUCAAAAGAGGAAUCCAAUUAACUUAAAAAGAUAUAUCCUUAUCUCAUAAGAAACUCUACUUUUUUAAUCUAAUUUUUUUCAAUAAAAUCAGACUUAAUUGGUAUGUUAUCAUCCUCUUUUGACAAGAAUAUGGAGUGCCCCAGUCAGAUAUGGAAAUCUGAUUGGGCGCCUCAUGUCAUAUAGGGCAGGCAGUUGGGGCGCCAAACCCUUGGCACCCCCAUUCUAGGGUUUUCUUUCAAGAGAGCGGGUGUGGCCCCUCUCUCUCUCCUCCAC